RNAcentral lists this long non-coding RNA (1422 nucleotides) under Mus musculus (house mouse). RNAcentral describes it as "predicted gene 15523, transcript variant 2 (Gm15523)". Lineage: Eukaryota; Metazoa; Chordata; Mammalia; Rodentia; Muridae. The record is from RNAcentral.
AGAGACCCAACAAGGACAAGCGACUGACCAGCUAGAUCUUGAAGGUCCAUCAACACCAUCAUAGCCACCUGCUUGAGAGCCACUCAGGAGCAGCAGGACCAACCCCCAUCAGUCUCAGGGAGGGGCCCAUUGGGUACCAUGGCUCAAACUCAGCUCAUUCGGCAUGGAAGCAAGCAAAGUUACCCACUGAGCCUUCACGUAGCAUUCUUACACUGGUGGGACUCUCUUCGAAAAGACACAAAUGCCUCAGAGAGAGCAGAGCAGGCAGACUGAAGCUCUGUCAGCAAAUAAAAUCGAAUCAGCCUGACUUGUGAUAUUUACUGGCUUGCAGCAACCCGACCGCAGGUAUGGAUCUUGGCUACCAGUGCUUGGUCUAAGGACCGCUUUGCUGUGUGGCGUUCUUGUGGCUCUGGCUAACUGGUACCCAGGAGACGGUCCAGCACAUCUCCAAGAGGACAUCCAAAUGGCCUACCGCCAAAACACCAAGAGGCAGUCACUUUAUUAGUGUUGCGGGGUUCAAAUUCAAAGCUAAAGCAACACAACCUCCCCUGCCCCACAUGGCUCAGAGGAAAACAGAACGUGUAAGGGCCGCGGAGUGCAUGGAGUCACCACGGAGAGUAUGGGGUCACUGGGAGCUGUAAUGAGGAUUGAAACAGUGCUGAAAGAUGGAUGAGCCUUAUCUCCUGCUAGUCCUGGGACCUCCUAUGUACGAUUGUGUGUAAUGUUGGGGACCACAGUAGAAGAUCACCCUCUGGGUUUUCUAUGAAGAAACACAGCAGGGUGAGCGUGGCUGGAAAGCAGCCACCCUCUUGUACCCAGCGCCUUUGGCCAGGGACCUGAGUCGGUGUGAGGAGAGAUGUGUUGUGUUCAUAGAAAGCACAGGUUCUCAGGAGCCCUCAAGAUGCUUGCCGACCGGAUUGCUUGCAAUGGACUUACCAGCCUACAGAAUUCAUAAAAUAGUUUCACAUUCCUGUCAAAACCCCAGGACCUAACCAAAGGUCAGGCACACAAGAAGUAGUUAAUAAGUGCAGGAGAAUAAACAGUAGAGUCAGAAUAAUGUUUAAUUCCCUGGAAGGCUGGCUGGUUUCUGGACUGGGGACCUCGUGCUACCUGCUCUAACCUUACCCUGCCAUCUGCUGGACAUGUCAGGAAUUGCAACGUGGCAAGUAGAUGGUUUGUAGCUGUGCUCACAGGAUGCUCACAGGAUAUUAUAGCAGAUGUGAGACAUCAUCUGACACACAGCGAAGGCCUGGAAAAGAUCUGAAUAUGAUUUGAAGCUCCCUGGGGGCAGCCUCCACCUGCUCUUGUUCAUUCAGGACCUGCCCUGGCUGGAAGUUUUCAGAGGGGCUUAUGAUGGCCUUACAUUCUUCCUAGUUUUCCUCCAUUUAAAAUAAAGACAGGGCAAAGAGAAAAGAUCUCCAA